GAAGCAGUUGAAGCUUAAUCGCCUGAUUACUUCGAGGCCUUAGAUUGAUGCAGAAAGCGGGUAGAGGCGAUAGGUGAUGUUAAAGUUGUGAAGGAAAUCGGAAAUGGCCGGGAAGACGAUGAGCGACGCGAGCAGUAGCACUAUUGCUGGUACGGAGAGAGGGGAAAGCGUUGUGUAUGACUGUAGAAGACGAAAAUCCUCGUGUGGUUAUUGUAAAUCUGGUUCUCGCGGCAGCAUCACUCACGGUUUAUGGGCUCCAGAUAAUCUUACUGUUGAUGACUACCAAGAUCUCCUUGAUCGUGGCUGGAGAAGAUCUGGCUGCUAUCUCUACAAACCUGAGAUGGAAAGAA
Molecule: unclassified non-coding RNA, 350 nt
Filed under: Hevea brasiliensis (rubber tree)
Lineage: Eukaryota; Viridiplantae; Streptophyta; Magnoliopsida; Malpighiales; Euphorbiaceae
Source: RNAcentral